Molecule: ribosomal RNA, 253 nt
Filed under: uncultured bacterium
Lineage: Bacteria
Description: partial 16S ribosomal RNA
Rfam family: Bacterial small subunit ribosomal RNA
Source: RNAcentral
UACGUAGGGUGCAAGCGUUAAUCGGAAUUACUGGGCGUAGAGCGUGCGCAGGCGGUUUUGUAAGUCUGUCGUGAAAUCCCCGGGCUUAACCUGGGAAUUGCGAUGGAGACUGCAAGGCUGGAAUCUGGCAGAGGGGGGUAGAAUUCCACGUGUAGCAGUGAAAUGCGUAGAGAUGUGGAGGAACACCGAUGGCGAAGGCAGCCCCCUGGGUCAAGAUUGACGCUCAUGCACGAAAGCGUGGGGAGCAAACAGG